RNAcentral lists this ribosomal RNA (854 nucleotides) under uncultured bacterium. RNAcentral describes it as "bacterial SSU rRNA". It matches the Rfam family "Bacterial small subunit ribosomal RNA", at positions 28 to 896 of the family's 1533-position model. The record is from RNAcentral.
AAUGAACGUUGGCGGCGUGGAUUAGGCAUGCAAGUCGAACGGGUUUGGCUUCGGCCAGACCAGUGGCGCAAGGGUGAGUAAGGCGACGGUAACCAACCCCAUGGUUGGGUAUAGCCGCGGGAAACUGCCGGUAAUCCCCAGCGACGUAAAUUUCCGGCAUCGGGAAUUUACCAAAGCUUUGGCGCCGUGGGACGGGCCAUCGUGGUAUUAGGUAGUUGGCGGGGUAACGGCCCACCAAGCCUUUGAUGCCUACCGGGCGUGCGAGCGUGGCCCGGCACACUGGGACUGAGACACUGCCCAGACUCCUACGGGAGGCUGCAGUCGAGAAUCUUCGGCAAUGGGCGCAAGCCUGACCGAGCGACGCCGCGUGGAGGAUGAAGGCCUUCGGGUUGUAAACUCCUGUCGAGGGGGAGGAAGGGGAAACCUUGACCUAUCCCUGGAGGAAGCACGGGCUAAGUUCGUGCCAGCAGCCGCGGUAAGACGAACCGUGCGAACGUUAUUCGGAAUCACUGGGCUUAAAGCGCGUGUAGGCGGAUGGGAACGUCGGUAACUGAAAGCCCCCGGCUCAACCGGGGAAGUGGUGCCGAAACGACCUGUCUGGAGGGACGUAGGGGGACCUGGAACUUCCGGUGGAGCGGUGAAAUGCGUUGAGAUCGGAAGGAACGCCCGUGGCGAAAGCGAGGUCCUGGACGUCUGCUGACGCUGAGACGCGAAAGCUAGGGGAGCAAACGGGAUUAGAUACCCCGGUAGUCCUAGCCGUAAACGAUGGGCACUGGGUAGGGGGCUCGCCGAUGGGCUCUCUGCCGUAGCGAAAGCGUGAAGUGCCCCGCCUGGGGAGUAUGGUCGCAAGGCUG